CUGUAGGCUUUUGACAACUCUUGACAUUUCAAUUUUUCGCGUCGAUUUUGCUUGUGUGCAGUUUUUAUCGCGUUCUUCAUCAAUUUUAGAUACCUUGCUUUUUAUCGUUCCGGCCACCAGAUUCGUUGGUUUUCAUAAAGUUGCAUUUGCCUGUGCCACUUCCACCCGUGUUUAUAAGGCGUAAUAUUCAACUGGAGAUACUUCAGAGACGAACUUGGCCUUAUUUCGAUGCUAUGUUGUUUUUGAAAGACACGGUCACGCCCAGACAAACAACAACAAACAUCGUCUCCCAAACGCCAGAAGUUCUCGGACAAGAACCAGAUAUACUGGAUACUUCCUUUGGAUUCCAAAUAGGCGAGAGUGGGAACAUUAUAAUAGAAGAGCAAGAAACCACUGCCCCAACGCCGGCUAAGAGACAAAAGAAAAAAAACGAU
Molecule: long non-coding RNA, 434 nt
Organism: Rhagoletis zephyria (snowberry fruit fly)
Lineage: Eukaryota; Metazoa; Arthropoda; Insecta; Diptera; Tephritidae
Source: RefSeq, a predicted model, not a curated record